RNAcentral lists this ribosomal RNA (506 nucleotides) under uncultured bacterium. RNAcentral describes it as "partial 16S ribosomal RNA". It matches the Rfam family "Bacterial small subunit ribosomal RNA", at positions 27 to 507 of the family's 1533-position model. The record is from RNAcentral.
GGACGAACGCUGGCGGCGUGCCUAAUCCAUGCAAGUAGAACGCACAGUUUAUACCGUAGCUUGCUACACCAUAGACUGUGAGUUGCGAACGGGUGAGUAACGCGUAGGUAACCUGCCUGGUAGCGGGGGAUAACUAUUGGAAACGAUAGCUAAUACCGCAUAAUAUUGAUUAUUGCAUGAUAAUUGAUUGAAAGAUGCUAUUGCAUCACUACCAGAUGGACCUGCGUUGUAUUAGCUAGUAGGUGAGGUAACGGCCCACCUAGGCGACGAUACAUAGCCGACUUGAGAGGGUGAUCGGCCACACUGGGACUGAGACACGGCCCAGACUCCUACGGGAGGCAGCAGUAGGGAAUCUUCGGCAAUGGACGAAAGUCUGACCGAGCAACGCCGCGUGAGUGAAGAAGGUUUUCGGAUCGUAAAGCUCUGUUGUAAGAGAAGAACGGGUGUGAGAGUGGAAAGUUCACACUGUGACGGUAUCUUACCAGAAAGGGACGGCUAACUACGUG